Molecule: long non-coding RNA, 1287 nt
Filed under: Zea mays
Lineage: Eukaryota; Viridiplantae; Streptophyta; Magnoliopsida; Poales; Poaceae
Description: long non-coding RNA (ZMAY_LNC004508)
Source: RNAcentral
GAAACACCAACUACAACCCAAAACUGUUGCACAAAACAUAAAAGCACCCUGAACCUGGGACACACAGUGGCGCCAGCCACAAGAAACUCUUGCGAUCAUUUGUCAUCCACUAAUGAGAACUUCCUUCUACAAGAUAGCAUCAUGUUGGAUUAAGUAAAAGGAUUAAACAUGAAGAUUCCAACUAUAAUAUAGCUCAAUGUCCACGUUCCUCACGUAAAUCUACAAGGACAGCGCCGAUUAAGAAAGGAUACGGCAAUGUGAACAUGAUCUUUGAAGCUUGCCGCCUGUUAGCAGUCUUCCAGGAAAUCAUAUAAUAGAUGAGGGAGGUAGAAGCUACCUUUCACGACUCAUGAGACUGUUUUCAUCACUAGUGCUAAUAGCUCUGUUUCUGUAUACCUUGAUCGUUACAGUGUUAGUUAUACUUCUUUUCUUGCACUCAACCACCAUUAACUUCCAUAAUCAGCCAUAUGGAACAGCACAAUAACCUCCUGCAUAGUAAUAAAUGGGCUGAUAAAAUACUCAAAACCUAAACGAAUUCUAGACGAUAUGAAGAUUAACACGGUUAUUGCAGCAACCAUCAGACUCCUUUGAAACCUAUACGAAGUAAUGAGAAAAAUGUAUUCAGCAACCAUUCCUAUCCUAUCAAGGUUUUCGCUAUGACUUGGUUUGAACAAGUUCUGCACUUCCGCUCACAUUCUUAUCGUGCAAAGCAGUCAACUAAAAUGUAACAUCGUGGCACCCUUUUAGGUGUGCAGUUUCAAAGGAAGAUAUCCAUACAUGCAGAGAAUUGCAAUUUUGGGUGUGGAAAGAUUGAUGGCGGGACAAAGCUUCCAUGUACUUUCUGCUGGUGAAGUGUCUCACAAGUAAUGGUUGAUUCAUUGAAAUCAAUCUUACUAAUGUCAAAGGGUUGGUUUGCCAGAUGCGGAGUUUCGCUAACGAUAAUUUGUUAGUGAUGGCAUAGCGAUGACAGGAUGGUAUCCAAAAGAAAUUUUCAACUAUACUAACAUUUCCACUCAAUUUUUUGACCCGUAACGCUUGUGAAAAUUGAACAUCAUUAAUUAAACAGUGCAUUUGGAAAAGCUGAAUCCUACACUAAGCCAUAGGGCACUACAACUUACAUAAAUCAGUACCCUCUCUGGUCUGGUCUACAGGUAAUAACGAUGCAGAGGUUGCUUAUGAGAAGCCCUAACAAAAUCACAAGGUGUUACCCUUUCUACAGCAAAAUAGAGACAUUGCAAUAUGCCCAUCACCAACAGUAAUGGCAGGCUGGCAGCGGAGACCCCGCAC